Molecule: ribosomal RNA, 500 nt
Filed under: uncultured bacterium
Lineage: Bacteria
Description: partial 16S ribosomal RNA
Rfam family: Bacterial small subunit ribosomal RNA
Source: RNAcentral
AUUGAACGCUGGCGGCAUGCCUUACACAUGCAAGUCGAACGGCAGCACGGGAGCAAUCCUGGUGGCGAGUGGCGAACGGGUGAGUAAUGUAUCGGAACGCACCAUUGAGUGGGGGAUAACGUAGCGAAAGUUACGCUAAUACCGCAUAUACCCUGAGGGGGAAAGCAGGGGAUCGCAAGACCUUGUGCUCUUUGAGCGGCCGAUAUCAGAUUAGCUAGUUGGUGAGGUAAAGGCUCACCAAGGGGACGAUCUGUAGCGGGUCUGAGAGGAUGAUCCGCCACACUGGAACUGAGACACGGUCCAGACUCCUACGGGAGGCAGCAGUGGGGAAUUUUGGACAAUGGGGGCAACCCUGAUCCAGCCAUGCCGCGUGAGUGAAGAAGGCCUUCGGGUUGUAAAGCUCUUUCGGCCGGGAGGAAAUCGCAUCAGCUAAUACCUGGUGUGGAUGACAGUACCGGAAUAAGAAGCACCGGCUAACUACGUGCCAGCCGCCGCGGUAA